GAUUCCGUAGCUCAGCUGGGAGAGCGCUACCUUGACAGGGUAGAGGUAGCUGGUUCGAUCCCAGUCGGAAUCA
RNAcentral lists this transfer RNA (73 nucleotides) under Bacillus subtilis subsp. subtilis. RNAcentral describes it as "tRNA-Val". It matches the Rfam family "tRNA". Rfam says of the family: Transfer RNA (tRNA) molecules are approximately 80 nucleotides in length. Their secondary structure includes four short double-helical elements and three loops (D, anti-codon, and T loops). The record is from RNAcentral. Lineage: Bacteria; Bacillati; Bacillota; Bacilli; Caryophanales; Bacillaceae.